Entelurus aequoreus (snake pipefish) is the source of this 280-nucleotide long non-coding RNA. RefSeq lists it as uncharacterized. Lineage: Eukaryota; Metazoa; Chordata; Actinopteri; Syngnathiformes; Syngnathidae. The transcript is spliced from 3 exons. The record is from RefSeq and is a predicted model, not a curated record.
CGAGUUUUUGCCAGCGAACUCCUAAAGUGUUGUACCCUUUUAGUUUGUUUGUUGACAUGUCCAGUCUCUCUUUGCCAAGAAGUGCGCCACAGCAAUGCUCUUGAUGGUGUCAUCAAUCCUAAACAACUUAAAGGAAGUGCGGAACUUGGCCAGAGUGAGAGAUUUACACAAGCAUGUGACAGAAGGUCAGAAGCCCAGACUUCCCUCUCCCUGGCCUACCAUGUUCAGACCGGACCCCAUCAAUACCAUGACUGUGCCUAGAAAUGAUGUCCAUAAAAGG